This is a long non-coding RNA of Sinocyclocheilus anshuiensis, 148 nucleotides long. RefSeq lists it as uncharacterized. The record is from RefSeq and is a predicted model, not a curated record. The transcript is spliced from 3 exons. NCBI's taxonomy places the organism in Eukaryota, Metazoa, Chordata, Actinopteri, Cypriniformes, Cyprinidae.
AAAAACAAUGUGAAAUGAUAGCUGAUUAACAAGGGUGUAGAAGCACCUAACCCUGAUUGUAAGCCUACAACAGAUAUUUCCUGAGAAGUUAUUCCUCAGUUCUGAUUGGUUGAUUGGAAUGUUGAUCCAGGAACAUGUUGUACUUGGU